CACUGUGGUCCCAGCUGUGGCCAAGCUGCCUCCUGGCUCAGCAGUGCUGCUCGGUGCCUUACUUUUGCAACCACGCUCUGGCCCCCACUCCCCCAGCAGGAGCUGCCCACCCACCAGCCACUUCUUUUUUAGCCUGUGCCUCUUAUUUUGAGACCAUUCCUCUCACUCCACCCCUAAACCACAUGCACCAGCACUGUGUACUCUGGCACAGGCUGGGUAGAGCACAGUACCCUCUGACCACCGUGCCCUUCCCUGGCAGGGGGACCCUGGGGACCCAGGUGAGGACGGUGCCAAGGGUGCCCGGGGUGAUGCUGGCUCCCCUGGACUGCCUGGAGAGAGGGGUGUGGAGGGCCCCCGUGGCCCCCCUGGCACACGGGUAAGUGUCCCCUUUCCCAUGGGGGUCCGAAUGGGGGACCCGUGCCCUGCGCAGCUCCUGUUAGUGGGAAAUGGGGCUCACUUCUCUUCUGGCCCAUAGGGUGACCCUGGGGACCGAGGCCUGCCGGGAGAGAAGGUGAGAGCACUGGGGGCUGGGGGCUGUCCCAUAGCACUCCCAUCCCACCCCAAAGCUCCAACCAUCCUUCCCUGCUCCCUUCCAGGGGGAGCGUGGCCCACCAGGGCUGGAUGGCCGCAGUGGGCUGGAAGGCAAAGCUGGGCCCCCAGGGCCGGCUGGGCUGCGGGGGGACCCGGGAAAGCCUGGAGAUCCUGGCCGGGAUGGGCUGCCUGGGCUGCGUGGGGAGCAGGGGCCACCUGGCCCCAUGGGUCCCCUGGGACCACCUGGCGUGCCUGGCAAACCCGGUGAGGAUGGCAAACCUGGCCUGAAUGGCAAGAAUGUGAGUAGGGGAAACAGGGUUUGACUUUGGGGCUCUCCCAGGAUGCUGAGGGAUAGUGAUCCCA
RNAcentral lists this long non-coding RNA (894 nucleotides) under Taeniopygia guttata (zebra finch). Its description in RNAcentral is "lncRNA (ENSTGUG00000027309.1)". The record is from RNAcentral. Lineage: Eukaryota; Metazoa; Chordata; Aves; Passeriformes; Estrildidae.